Molecule: transfer RNA, 66 nt
Filed under: Metapenaeus joyneri
Lineage: Eukaryota; Metazoa; Arthropoda; Malacostraca; Decapoda; Penaeidae
Description: tRNA-Phe
Source: RNAcentral
ACUUAUAUAGCUUAUAUUAAGAGCGUUGUGUUGAAGCCGCAAAGGAAACAGUUAUGUUUGUAAGUA